RNAcentral lists this transfer RNA (60 nucleotides) under Celleporella hyalina. RNAcentral's name for it is "tRNA-Glu". Lineage: Eukaryota; Metazoa; Bryozoa; Gymnolaemata; Cheilostomatida; Hippothoidae. The record is from RNAcentral.
ACUAUUAUAGUGUUAUAGCACAUAGGUCUUUCUCACCUGAAGUUCAGUUUGAUAAUAGUA